RNAcentral lists this ribosomal RNA (32 nucleotides) under Platanus mexicana var. mexicana. Lineage: Eukaryota; Viridiplantae; Streptophyta; Magnoliopsida; Proteales; Platanaceae. The record is from RNAcentral.
GGGUGGGAUCAUACCAGCACUAAUGCACCGGA